AUUUUUAAGAAUGUUCCUUGCAACUUUGAUUCUAACAAAGAUGAAAUGAAGGCCUGGACACUAAACUGGCUGAAUGGUUAAGACAGCAUUACUCAAUAGUAUUUCAACACAGGGUGUUGGGAUAUAAGCCACAUUCAGGAGAGCUGGACAGAGAAUUCCUACAACAGAACAAGAAGAAAAUAUAUCACUGUCCAUUAAAGAAUCAUGUUAGAUCUAUAGCAGGACACACAUUAUGAUGAUCCAGUCUGUUUUCCAAAUAUAAUAUAUUCAAAUGUGUUCUUUUCUUUCAGUUUGUUUGAACUCUGGUAAGGACCCAGCUGCUAUUUUCAUUGGAGCACUUUCCAGUUUACUCAUGGGCCAAGCUUUCUACUCUUUUUUUCUGGAUGAAACAUCCAAGGUAUUCAUGAUGUGUACAAAUUCCAUCUUGUGGCAAUAACUGACUACCAGUCUGAUUGCUGGGAAAACCUCUGAAUAUGAUAAUUAUUUUACUGUAUGUUUUGAUGUUUCUUCUGUUUGGAAUUAAACAUUGCCUUGAAAGUGUUCCUUGACUGCAAGCAAUCACUUUACAGAGUAUGCUAUUAUCACAUAUUUGCUCUUUGCACUAUGUAGAAGGACGGAACAAAUAAAAACAAACUGUCCAUACAGCCUAAAGUACUCAAAGUCACCACUUUCAAUUCACUGUGAAUGCUGUUGGUUUCCCUACUGAUAAAUUCUUAAACAAGUCAGGACCUUUGGAUGACAGCACUGUGCCUGGAACUGCUGUAGGUUAUAUAACCUGUGCAAGCGUAUAGUAUGUAUGGCCACACUUAAAAUUUUGCUUGGAAAAAAAAAUAAAUGAAACAAUUCCUUCAUCCAUUGAAGGGAUAACACCUCUCCAUUUCACCUUUCAUUCAAAUGAAUCAAAAAGUACUUCCCAGAAUAAUAGUUUUUUUGUUUGUUUUUUGUUUUUAAAUCUAUGUGGGAAGGAAUAAAUGCAGAAUCCUUUCUUCCCUGUCCAGACAAACUGACUAUGCUGAUAGUGCUUCUCAUCAUGCACAGUGAUGCUUCACAAUUAGCCUGGACACAGACCAACAGGAUUUUCCAGUUCUAGAGUUCAUGAGUUCAUGCAGUCAAUGGUAACUUUGGGAUGCCUGCAGUUCAUAACCAAGAGCUCUGACCUUUGUUGAGACACCUUUUUUUUUUUUUUUCCCUCCUGAACUGGAACAAAGCAGCUGCCACAAAACCUGAGAGCAGCUCAAAAGAGAAAUAAGAAAAAACAAAUCUGUAGUUGCAAAAGGAAAGUCUUAAAUACUACUCAGUGUCAGAAAUAGGAAAAAAAAAUACAGAGAAUGCCAGUACAAUUUAUUAAUUACAGUUCCAGUACAGUAGAACCCAUGGGAAUUAUUUUAAUUCCCUACAGCUGACAACAGGGAAAGGAGAACACAAGAAUAUGUAAGAGUAAGAAAAUAUUUGAAUUUUCAUAUGUAUUAAUAUAGGUUCAGAUAAGUGA
Molecule: long non-coding RNA, 1489 nt
Organism: Oxyura jamaicensis (ruddy duck)
Lineage: Eukaryota; Metazoa; Chordata; Aves; Anseriformes; Anatidae
Exons: 3
Source: RefSeq, a predicted model, not a curated record